AUGCAUGUCUAAGUACACACUGUGGCACAGUGAAACCGCGAAUGGCUCAUUAAAUCAGUUAUGGUUUAUUAGAUCGUGCGUUCUACAUGGAUAACUGUGGUAAUUCUAGAGCUAAUACAUGCAACUAGCCCUGACUUACGGAGGGGCGCUUUUAUUAGAUCAAAAUCAAUCGGGUUCGCCCGUUUUUGUGAUGACUCUGGAUAACUUUUGCCGACCGCAUGGCCUUGCGCUGGCGGCGUAUCUUUCAAAUGUCUGCCCUAUCAACUUUCGAUGGUAGGUGACAUGCCUACCAUGGUUGUAACGGGUAACGGAGAAUCAGGGUUCGAUUCCGGAGAGGGAGCCUGAGAAACGGCUACCACAUCCAAGGAAGGCAGCAGGCGCGCAAAUUACCCACUCCCGGCACGGGGAGGUAGUGACGAAAAAUAACAAUGCUGGGCUUCAAGUCCGGUAAUUGGAAUGAGUACACUUUAAAUCCUUUAACGAGGAUCUAGUGGAGGGCAAGUCUGGUGCCAGCAGCCGCGGUAAUUCCAGCUCCACGAGCAUGUACGUAAGUUGUUGCAGUUAAAAAGCUCGUAGUUGGAUCUCAGGCUUGUGGCCGGUGGUCCGCCCGAUACGGGUGUGCACUGCCGUGCCCGGUCUACGUCUGGUUACGUCUGCAGUGCCCUUAACCGGGUGCUGUAGAAUGCCAGAAAGUUUACUCUGAAAAAAUUAGAGUGCUUAAAGCAAGCCGUUUGUGCUUGAAUACUGUUGCAUGGAAUAAUAGAAUAGGACCUCGGAUCUAUUUUGUUGGUUUUCGGAGUCGAGGUAAUGAUUAAGAGGGACAGACGGGGGCAUUCGUAUUGCGCCGUUAGAGGUGAAAUUCUUGGAUCGGCGCAAGACGAACAACUGCGAAAGCAUUUGCCAAGGAUGUUUUCAUUAAUCAAGAACGAAAGUCAGAGGUUCGAAGACGAUCAGAUACCGUCGUAGUUCUGACCAUAAACGAUGCCAACUGGCGAUCCGCCGUAAUCUGGCUUAAAGGAUUCGGCGGGCAGCCUCCGGGAAACCUAAGUCUAUGGGUUCCGGGGGAAGUAUGGUUGCAAAGCUGAAACUUAAAGGAAUUGACGGAAGGGCACCACCAGGAGUGGAGCCUGCGGCUUAAUUUGACUCAACACGGGAAAACUCACCCGGCCAGGACACCGUUAGGAUUGACAGACUGAGAGCUCUUUCUUGAUUCGGUGGGUGGUGGUGCAUGGCCGUUCUUAGUUGGUGGAGCGAUUUGUCUGGUUAAUUCCGAUAACGAACGAGACUCUAGCCUGCUAAAUAGACGGGCGAUGCCUCUGUGCGUCGACCCGAUCAGCUUCUUAGAGGGACAAGUGGCGUUCCUAGCCACGCGAAAUUGAGCAAUAACAGGUCUGUGAUGCCCUUAGAUGUCCGGGGCCGCACGCGCGCUACAAUGAGGGACGCAGUGUGCCCGCAAAGCCUGAUCCGAAAGGAUUGGGUAAUCAUUUCAAUUUCCCUCGUAAUAGGGAUUGAGCAUUGUAACUAUUGCUCAUGAACGAGGAAUUCCUAGUAAGCGCGAGUCAUAAGCUUGCGUUGACUACGUCCCUGCCCUUUGUACACACCGCCCGUCGCUACUACCGAUUGAAUGGUUUAGCGAGAUCCUCGGAUCGGGCCUUAUACGCUCGCAAGGGUGUUUGAGGUCUGAGAAGAAGCUCAAGCUUGAUCAUUUA
Molecule: ribosomal RNA, 1709 nt
Filed under: Chaetonotus microchaetus
Lineage: Eukaryota; Metazoa; Gastrotricha; Chaetonotida; Chaetonotidae
Description: SSU rRNA
Rfam family: Eukaryotic small subunit ribosomal RNA
Source: RNAcentral